RNAcentral lists this ribosomal RNA (1439 nucleotides) under Streptomyces sp. RNAcentral's name for it is "bacterial SSU rRNA". It matches the Rfam family "Bacterial small subunit ribosomal RNA". Lineage: Bacteria; Bacillati; Actinomycetota; Actinomycetes; Kitasatosporales; Streptomycetaceae. The record is from RNAcentral.
UAAAGAAUUCUUGGGUUCCAAGGGACGGGGGGGGUUUUAAAAAACAAAUGGAAAGGGGUUAGCAACCACUGUUCUGGGGGAAUAAUUGGCAGAACGGGUGGAAAACACCGUGGGAAAUCUGCCCCCCACUCUGGGAAAAACCCCCGGAAAAGGGGGUCUAAUACCGGGAUACUUGACCCUCGCAGGCAUCUGCGAGGUUCUGAAAGCUUCCGGCGGUGCAAGGAUGAGCCCGCGGGCCUAUCAGCUUGUGGGUGAGGUAAAGGCUUCACCAAGGCGGACGACGGGUAGCCGGCCUGAGAGGGCGACCGGCCACACUGGGACUGAGACACGGCCCAGACUCCUACGGGAGGCAGCAGUGGGGAAUAUUGCACAAUGGGCGAAAGCCUGAUGCAGCGACGCCGCGUGAGGGAUGACGGCCUUCGGGUUGUAAACCUCUUUCAGCAGGGAAGAAGCGAAAGUGACGGUACCUGCAGAAGAAGCGCCGGCUAACUACGUGCCAGCAGCCGCGGUAAUACGUAGGGCGCAAGCGUUGUCCGGAAUUAUUGGGCGUAAAGAGCUCGUAGGCGGCUUGUCACGUCGGUUGUGAAAGCCCGGGGCUUAACCCCGGGUCUGCAGUCGAUACGGGCAGGCUAGAGUUCGGUAGGGGAGAUCGGAAUUCCUGGUGUAGCGGUGAAAUGCGCAGAUAUCAGGAGGAACACCGGUGGCGAAGGCGGAUCUCUGGGCCGAUACUGACGCUGAGGAGCGAAAGCGUGGGGAGCGAACAGGAUUAGAUACCCUGGUAGUCCACGCCGUAAACGGUGGGCACUAGGUGUGGGCAACAUUCCACGUUGUCCGUGCCGCAGCUAACGCAUUAAGUGCCCCGCCUGGGGAGUACGGCCGCAAGGCUAAAACUCAAAGGAAUUGACGGGGGCCCGCACAAGCGGCGGAGCAUGUGGCUUAAUUCGACGCAACGCGAAGAACCUUACCAAGGCUUGACAUACACCGGAAAGCAUCAAAGAUGGUGCCCCCCUUGUGGUCGGUGUACAGGUGGUGCAUGGCUGUCGUCACCUCGUGUCCUGAAAUGUUGGGUUAAGUCCCGCAACGAGCGCAACCCUUGUCCCGUGUUGCCAGCAGGCCCUUUGGGGUGCUGGGGACUCACGGGAAACCCCCGGGGUCAACUCCAAAGAAAGUGGGGACCACGUCAAGUCAUCAUGCCCCCUUAUGUCUUGGGCUGCACACCGUGCUACAAUGGCCGGUACAAUGAGCUGCGAUACCGCAAGGUGGAGCGAAUCUCAAAAAGCCGGUCUCAGUUCGGAUUGGGGUCUGCAACUCGACCCCAUGAAGUCGGAGUCGCUAGUAAUCGCAGAUCAGCAUUGUUGCGGUGAAUACGUUCCCGGGCCUUGUACACACCGCCCGUCAUUUCACGAAAGUCGGUUUCUAUUGAUCGUCUCGCUAUAAUU